UUUAACAACCCUCGAUUUCAUCAUCUGUUUCCUGUUUGAAUAAAACAGGUUCUCCAACCGCUGUUUCUUGUCGUCUUGGCAUCGCAGGUAAGCUGUGUUCUUGAAUGAUUGGUUCCCGAUUUCGAUCGAUGUCUCUGAUGGUAUUAAAUCAAGCCCGUAUGCUCGUUCGGUGAUUUUAAGCAACAAAUAAGCUCCGUAUUUUGUGUUUGGAGAUAGCUUUUUGCUUCUGAUAUUGCCAUUGAUUUCCAACCUGCUGCUACUUGUGAGUUCGGCUACCUCUGAGAAUCUGAAAAUGAAGAAAAUUGUUGUAUUUUCGGGUUCAGAUGAUUCAAGUUCGGUUUUAUAAUUAAACUACUGACCUUGAUUCAGGGAUGGAUUUCCAAGUCCAAAACAUUGGAUCAUUGCUCGAACUUAUAGAAAGCUGCCUUGCUGAUAAAAUAUAUGAUUUUCUUCCACUUGGUCUAUCUAAUUUGAAACUCUGCAUUUUCAUGAAACAGAUGAUGAGAAAAAAAUCAUUAAAUUUAUAAGCACCUUUGUUGUUUCAAACAGGGUUUUAAUGGAAACUAACCAUUUUGCCAUCAGCAAUCAGAACAGGGUUGCAGAGGAGGUGAUAAAGCUGUUUCUUUGAAGCAAACAAAAAAGUUGUAUUACAAGCCUUGGACACAAUUUCAUGGUAAUCAGAUGGCAAGAACUUGUCCCAAACCAAAUCAGAAUCCGCCGCCGAUCCGAA
This 730-nucleotide long non-coding RNA is filed under the name Gossypium barbadense (sea-island cotton). RNAcentral describes it as "long non-coding RNA (GBAR_LNC021184)". The record is from RNAcentral. Lineage: Eukaryota; Viridiplantae; Streptophyta; Magnoliopsida; Malvales; Malvaceae.